RNAcentral lists this ribosomal RNA (1398 nucleotides) under Lactiplantibacillus plantarum. RNAcentral describes it as "bacterial SSU rRNA". It matches the Rfam family "Bacterial small subunit ribosomal RNA", at positions 65 to 1432 of the family's 1533-position model. Lineage: Bacteria; Bacillati; Bacillota; Bacilli; Lactobacillales; Lactobacillaceae. The record is from RNAcentral.
AACUCUGGUAUUGAUUGGUGCUUGCAUCAUGAUUUACAUUUGAGUGAGUGGCGAACUGGUGAGUAACACGUGGGAAACCUGCCCAGAAGCGGGGGAUAACACCUGGAAACAGAUGCUAAUACCGCAUAACAACUUGGACCGCAUGGUCCGAGUUUGAAAGAUGGCUUCGGCUAUCACUUUUGGAUGGUCCCGCGGCGUAUUAGCUAGAUGGUGGGGUAACGGCUCACCAUGGCAAUGAUACGUAGCCGACCUGAGAGGGUAAUCGGCCACAUUGGGACUGAGACACGGCCCAAACUCCUACGGGAGGCAGCAGUAGGGAAUCUUCCACAAUGGACGAAAGUCUGAUGGAGCAACGCCGCGUGAGUGAAGAAGGGUUUCGGCUCGUAAAACUCUGUUGUUAAAGAAGAACAUAUCUGAGAGUAACUGUUCAGGUAUUGACGGUAUUUAACCAGAAAGCCACGGCUAACUACGUGCCAGCAGCCGCGGUAAUACGUAGGUGGCAAGCGUUGUCCGGAUUUAUUGGGCGUAAAGCGAGCGCAGGCGGUUUUUUAAGUCUGAUGUGAAAGCCUUCGGCUCAACCGAAGAAGUGCAUCGGAAACUGGGAAACUUGAGUGCAGAAGAGGACAGUGGAACUCCAUGUGUAGCGGUGAAAUGCGUAGAUAUAUGGAAGAACACCAGUGGCGAAGGCGGCUGUCUGGUCUGUAACUGACGCUGAGGCUCGAAAGUAUGGGUAGCAAACAGGAUUAGAUACCCUGGUAGUCCAUACCGUAAACGAUGAAUGCUAAGUGUUGGAGGGUUUCCGCCCUUCAGUGCUGCAGCUAACGCAUUAAGCAUUCCGCCUGGGGAGUACGGCCGCAAGGCUGAAACUCAAAGGAAUUGACGGGGGGCCCGCACAAGCGGUGGAGCAUGUGGUUUAAUUCGAAGCUACGCGAAGAACCUUACCAGGUCUUGACAUACUAUGCAAAUCUAAGAGAUUAGACGUUCCCUUCGGGGACAUGGAUACAGGUGGUGCAUGGUUGUCGUCAGCUCGUGUCGUGAGAUGUUGGGUUAAGUCCCGCAACGAGCGCAACCCUUAUUAUCAGUUGCCAGCAUUAAGUUGGGCACUCUGGUGAGACUGCCGGUGACAAACCGGAGGAAGGUGGGGAUGACGUCAAAUCAUCAUGCCCCUUAUGACCUGGGCUACACACGUGCUACAAUGGAUGGUACAACGAGUUGCGAACUCGCGAGAGUAAGCUAAUCUCUUAAAGCCAUUCUCAGUUCGGAUUGUAGGCUGCAACUCGCCUACAUGAAGUCGGAAUCGCUAGUAAUCGCGGAUCAGCAUGCCGCGGUGAAUACGUUCCCGGGCCUUGUACACACCGCCCGUCACACCAUGAGAGUUUGUAACACCCAAAGUCGGUG